RNAcentral lists this ribosomal RNA (447 nucleotides) under uncultured bacterium. RNAcentral describes it as "partial 16S ribosomal RNA". It matches the Rfam family "Bacterial small subunit ribosomal RNA", at positions 29 to 523 of the family's 1533-position model. The record is from RNAcentral.
AACGAACGCUGGCGGCAGGCUUAACACAUGCAAGUCGAACGCCCCGCAAGGGGAGUGGCAGACGGGUGAGUAACGCGUGGGAAUCUACCGUACCCUACGGAACAACAGUUGGAAACGACUGCUAAUACCGUAUACGCCCUCCGGGGGAAAGAUUUAUCGGGGUAUGACGAGCCCGCGUUGGAUUAGCUAGUUGGUGGGGUAAAGGCCUACCAAGGCGACGAUCCAUAGCUGGUCUGAGAGGAUGAUCAGCCACAUUGGGACUGAGACACGGCCCAAACUCCUACGGGAGGCAGCAGUGGGGAAUAUUGGACAAUGGGCGCAAGCCUGAUCCAGCCAUGCCGCGUGAGUGAUGAAGGUCUUAGGAUUGUAAAGCUCUUUCACCGAUGAAGAUAAUGACGGUAGUCGGAGAAGAAGCCCCGGCUAACUUCGUGCCAGCAGCCGCAGUAA